RNAcentral lists this ribosomal RNA (281 nucleotides) under Roseburia inulinivorans DSM 16841. RNAcentral's name for it is "partial 16S ribosomal RNA". It matches the Rfam family "Bacterial small subunit ribosomal RNA", at positions 496 to 776 of the family's 1533-position model. The record is from RNAcentral. Lineage: Bacteria; Bacillati; Bacillota; Clostridia; Lachnospirales; Lachnospiraceae.
UAUGGUUGUGUGCCAGCAGCCGCGGUAAUACGUAUGGUGCAAGCGUUAUCCGGAUUUACUGGGUGUAAAGGGAGCGCAGGCGGAAGGCUAAGUCUGAUGUGAAAGCCCGGGGCUCAACCCCGGUACUGCAUUGGAAACUGGUCAUCUAGAGUGUCGGAGGGGUAAGUGGAAUUCCUAGUGUAGCGGUGAAAUGCGUAGAUAUUAGGAGGAACACCAGUGGCGAAGGCGGCUUACUGGACGAUAACUGACGCUGAGGCUCGAAAGCGUGGGGAGCAAACAGG